This 948-nucleotide long non-coding RNA is filed under the name Mustela putorius furo (domestic ferret). RNAcentral's name for it is "lncRNA (ENSMPUG00000028438.1)". The record is from RNAcentral. Lineage: Eukaryota; Metazoa; Chordata; Mammalia; Carnivora; Mustelidae.
CUGAAUUCUGUUUUUAUUAUAAUUGUUUCUUCUUUACUCUUCUAUGCUUAAGGGAUCUGCUCAUAUAAAUGACUACAGGAUAAAUAAAGCUGACAAACACAAGUGACUGUAUCUUUUGGCAUUAAGAUAAUUAUAGAUCAUUACACGGUAGGAAUAGUCAAUAGCCCUAAAGUAAUAUGAUUAAAUAAAGCACUUUAAAACUGUAAUUCACCUAGCCUUUUUAAUAUUUUACUAUUUCUUCUUUGUUGCUCUAAAGCUAUGAAUUUUAAGAUUUAUUUGUCACUACUCUCUAUAUUUUCUGCUGUACACAGUAUUUGUGGGCUAUGGCAACCAAUCCCCUUGGGCUUUCUUUUGCUUUAAUUUGCAUAAACACAGGCAUCAUAUGAAUAUUCAGUGAGUGGCUUUGCAUUAAGUAAGUGCCCUUAAUCAGCUUUUCAGUUCAGUUUUAUUGGUUGCACGCACAGUCAGUUAUUUCAUCCAGAAAAUCUGAAGGCCCUACAAACUAACCAGAGGUCCCAAGUUGUCUCCAGUCUCUUCAUUGUGUUUUGUGUGAAACCCAUCACAGAACGGGAAAUUUUGGGACCUCCAACAACGGCAGUACACACCUUUCCAAGUCCUCCAUGUCAAAAGCAGGGAAUAUCUGUCUGGAAUAUGGCUCAUUUGUGACCACGGACGAUGAGAAGUGAAUCUACUGGUGAUCAGUAGGUAGGCAGGAGAAUGAGGACUAACACCCUGAAUUUUACUGCAUCCCAUGCUUCCGAACAACUGAUGAUAAAGAAGAGGUUAAUGUUCCCCUCAGCUUGGCUCAACUUGAGACAGCCUUCUUCUUGACUCUAUGCUCUUGACCUCCCUUCUCUUAGAGCAUUUAGUUUAGCAAACUUGAACUUCUAAGUUCUUUCUUUGCCCCUUUGAGAUGUAAUUCUCCCAGACUUUGGCCAGUUUUCCAAC